This 405-nucleotide ribosomal RNA is filed under the name uncultured bacterium. RNAcentral's name for it is "bacterial SSU rRNA". It matches the Rfam family "Bacterial small subunit ribosomal RNA", at positions 355 to 776 of the family's 1533-position model. The record is from RNAcentral.
UAGGGAAUUUUGCGCAAUGGGCGAAAGCCUGACGCAGCAACGCCGCGUGAUUGAUUAAGCCCUUCGGGGUGUAAAGAUCUGUCAGUGGGGACGAAACUUGACGGUACCCACAGAGGAAGCACCGGCUAACUCCGUGCCAGCAGCCGCGGUAAUACGGAGGGUGCAAGCGUUGUCCGGAAUCAUUGGGCGUAAAGAGUUCGUAGGUGGUUUGUUAAGUUUGGUGUUAAAUGCAGAGGCUCAACUUCUGUUCGGCAUCGGAUACUGGCAGACUAGAAUGCGGUAGAGGUAAAGGGAAUUCCUGGUGUAGCGGUGAAAUGCGUAGAUAUCAGGAGGAACAUCGGUGGCGAAAGCGCUUUACUGGGCCGUAAUUGACACUGAGGAACGAAAGCCAGGGUAGCAAAUGGG